Rana temporaria (common frog) is the source of this 259-nucleotide long non-coding RNA. RefSeq lists it as uncharacterized. The transcript is spliced from 3 exons. NCBI's taxonomy places the organism in Eukaryota, Metazoa, Chordata, Amphibia, Anura, Ranidae. The record is from RefSeq and is a predicted model, not a curated record.
CUAGGAAAAUGAAACUCUAAAAAGCCUAUAACACUGUGCCGGGUAUAAAGAGGAGGAUCACAUCACUGGGAAUGCAGAGAGAUCAGCACACACAGAGGACAAGUCACCCCGCAGAUUACUAUGAAACUGCUUUUCCAGGUUGCACUGGUAUCCUGCAUACAUUUCCUGCACGCUCAGCCCACAGGUAAGUGGCUAUUUAAAUAUUUUUAAAGUAUAUUUCCAAAUGUACCUCAUUCAAAUCCAGACUAAUUAUCAGAAC